CCCUUAGAUGUUCUGGGCUGCACGCGCGCUACACUGAUGCGCUCAACGAGUUUAUGACCUUGCCCGGAAGGGUUGGGUAAUCUUUUCAAAACGCAUCGUGGUGGGGAUAGAUUAUUGCAAUUAUUAAUCUUCAACGAGGAAUUCCUAGUAAGCGUGAGUCAUCAGCUCGUGCUGAUUACGUCCCUGCCCUUUGUACACACCGCCCGUCGCUCCUACCGAUUGAGCGAUCCGGUGAAUAAUUCGGACUGCGGCAAUGUUCAGCUCCUGAAUGUUGCUGCGGAAAGUUUAGUGAACCUUAUCACUUAGAGGAAGGAGAAGUCGUAACA
This 326-nucleotide ribosomal RNA is filed under the name uncultured eukaryote. RNAcentral describes it as "partial 18S ribosomal RNA". It matches the Rfam family "Eukaryotic small subunit ribosomal RNA", at positions 1470 to 1796 of the family's 1831-position model. The record is from RNAcentral.